UACGGAGGGGGCUAGCGUUUUUCGGAAUUACUGGGCGUAAAGCGCACGUAGGCGGACUGGAAAGUCAGAGGUGAAAUCCCAGGGCUCAACCUUGGAACUGCCUUUGAAACUCCCGGUCUUGAGGUCGAGAGAGGUGAGUGGAAUUCCGAGUGUAGAGGUGAAAUUCGUAGAUAUUCGGAGGAACACAAGUGGCGAAGGCGGCUCACUGGCUCGAUACUGACGCUGAGGUGCGAAAGCGUGGGGAGGAAACAGC
This 253-nucleotide ribosomal RNA is filed under the name uncultured bacterium. RNAcentral describes it as "partial 16S ribosomal RNA". It matches the Rfam family "Bacterial small subunit ribosomal RNA", at positions 524 to 776 of the family's 1533-position model. The record is from RNAcentral.